RNAcentral lists this ribosomal RNA (304 nucleotides) under uncultured bacterium. Its description in RNAcentral is "partial 16S ribosomal RNA". It matches the Rfam family "Bacterial small subunit ribosomal RNA", at positions 506 to 807 of the family's 1533-position model. The record is from RNAcentral.
CAGCAGUCGCCACGGUAAUACGGAGGAUCCAAGCGUUAUCCGGAAUCAUUGGGUUUAAAGGGUCCGUAGGCGGUCUUGUAAGUCAGUGGUGAAAGCCCAUCGCUCAACGGUGGAACGGCCAUUGAUACUGCAGGACUUGAAUUAUUGGGAAGUAACUAGAAUAUGUAGUGUAGCGGUGAAAUGCUUAGAGAUUACAUGGAAUACCAAUUGCGAAGGCAGGUUACUACCAAUUGAUUGACGCUGAUGGACGAAAGCGUGGGUAGCGAACAGGAUUAGAUACCCCUGUAGUCCCUGUCUCUUAUAC